GACAGAGGCCUCGAGCGUUAGGCGGAAUCACUGGGCUUAAAGCGUGUGUAGGCGGAUCGUUAAGUACCUUGUGAAAUCCCUCGGCUCAACCGAGGAACUGCCUUUCAAACUGCAUGGCUUGAGUCCGGGAGAGGUGAGUGGAAUUCCCAGUGUAGCGGUGAAAUGCGUAGAUAUUGGGAGGAACACCAGUGGCGAAGGCGGCUCACUGGACCGGAACUGACGCUGAGGCGCGAAAGCGUGGGGAGCAAACGGG
This 253-nucleotide ribosomal RNA is filed under the name uncultured bacterium. Its description in RNAcentral is "partial 16S ribosomal RNA". It matches the Rfam family "Bacterial small subunit ribosomal RNA", at positions 524 to 776 of the family's 1533-position model. The record is from RNAcentral.